This 227-nucleotide long non-coding RNA is filed under the name Mytilus galloprovincialis (Mediterranean mussel). Lineage: Eukaryota; Metazoa; Mollusca; Bivalvia; Mytilida; Mytilidae. The record is from RNAcentral.
GGCGGUUCCUUAGUUACGAAAUGUCAACUUUGGAUUUGACGGAAGCUUACGAGAAAAUCAUGUAAAUUAGAAAUGGCGAAUGUUGGGUUUGAGAAUUAGAAGAAUUAAAUAGUUUUUUUCUAGCGGUUAUUCACGAAAUAACCCAUGCAAGCUACGGAUUUAUUAUGAUAUUUGAGCUUUAUCUAACAGGGAGUAAAAAAGAUCAGCCACACCCACACACCAAGCCA